UACGUAGGGUGCAAGCGUUAAUCGGAAUUACUGGGCGUAAAGCGUGCGCAGGCGGUGAUGUAAGACAGUUGUGAAAUCCCCGGGCUCAACCUGGGAACUGCAUCUGUGACUGCAUCGCUGGAGUACGGUAGAGGGGGAUGGAAUUCCGCGUGUAGCAGUGAAAUGCGUAGAUAUGCGGAGGAACACUGAUGGCGAAGGCAAUCCCCUGGACCUGUACUGACGCUCAUGCACGAAAGCGUGGGGAGCAAACAGG
This 253-nucleotide ribosomal RNA is filed under the name uncultured bacterium. RNAcentral's name for it is "partial 16S ribosomal RNA". It matches the Rfam family "Bacterial small subunit ribosomal RNA", at positions 524 to 776 of the family's 1533-position model. The record is from RNAcentral.